AGAGUUUGAUCCUGGCUCAGGACGAACGCUGGCGGCGUGCCUAAUACAUGCAAGUCGAGCGGAGUUAUUCCUUCGGGGAUAGCUUAGCGGCGGACGGGUGAGUAACACGUAGGCAACCUGCCUGUAAGAUCGGGAUAACCCACGGAAACGUGAGCUAAUACCGGAUAAGUAAUCUGCUCGCAUGAGGAGGUUAAGAAAGA
This 200-nucleotide ribosomal RNA is filed under the name uncultured bacterium. Its description in RNAcentral is "partial 16S ribosomal RNA". It matches the Rfam family "Bacterial small subunit ribosomal RNA", at positions 8 to 208 of the family's 1533-position model. The record is from RNAcentral.